CGAGAGGGAGAUUAAUCCCGAAUAACAUAUUUUGGUUUCCUGAUUAUAAUAUGAAAGCUCCGGCGAUGAAGGAUGGGGAUGCGUUCCAUUAGGUAGUAGGCGGGGUAACGGCCCACCUAGCCGACGAUGGAUAGGGGUUCUGAGAGGAAGGUCCCCCACACUGGAACUGAGACACGGUCCAGACUCCUACGGGAGGCAGCAGUGAGGAAUAUUGGUCAAUGGGCGCAAGCCUGAACCAGCCAAGUAGCGUGAAGGAUGACUGCCCUAUGGGUUGUAAACUUCUUUUAUACGGGAACAAAUGUGGGUACGUGUACCUAUUUGCGUGUACCGUAUGAAUAAGCAUCGGCUAACUCCGUGCCAGCAGCCGCGGUAAUACGGAGGAUGCGAGCGUUAUCCGGAUUUAUUGGGUUUAAAGGGAGCGUAGGUGGUCUGUUAAGCCAGCUGUGAAAUACUGUAGCUCAACUACAGCCGUGCAGUUGGAACUGGCGGACUUGAGUGCACAAGAGGAAGGUGGAAUUCAUGGUGUAGCGGUGAAAUGUUUAGAUAUCAUGAAGAACUCCGAUUGCGAAGGCAGCCUUCUGGGGUGCAACUGACACUGAUGCUCGAAAGUGUGGGUAUCGAACAGGAUUAGAUACCCUGGUAGUCCACACAGUAAACUAUGGAUACUCGCUGCCGGCGAUACACAGUCGGUGGCUUAGCGAAAGCGUUAAGUAUCCCACCUGGGGAGUACGCCGGCAACGGUGAAACUCAAAGGAAUUGACGGGGGCCCGCACAAGCGGAGGAACAUGUGGUUUAAUUCGAUGAUACGCGAGGAACCUUACCCAGGCUCGAACGGCAAUCUGAAUGUUAGUAGAGAUACUUUCAGUCUUCGGACAGGUUGUCGAGGUGCUGCAUGGUUGUCGUCAGCUCGUGCCGUGAGGUGUCGGCUUAAGUGCCAUAACGAGCGCAACCCUUGCUGUCAGUUGCCAUCGGGUCAUGCCGGGCACUCUGGCGGGACUGCCAUCGCAAGAUGUGAGGAAGGUGGGGAUGACGUCAAAUCAGCACGGCCCUUACGUCUGGGGCUACACACGUGUUACAAUGGGGAGUACAGAGGGAUGCCACCUGGCGACAGGGCGCUGAUCCCGAAAUCUCUUCUCAGUUU
RNAcentral lists this ribosomal RNA (1141 nucleotides) under uncultured bacterium. RNAcentral describes it as "bacterial SSU rRNA". It matches the Rfam family "Bacterial small subunit ribosomal RNA", at positions 152 to 1294 of the family's 1533-position model. The record is from RNAcentral.